UAAGAGAUAGCUUAAUUAUAAAGCAAAGCUUUGAAGGGGCUUUUAUAAGAAUCAUUUCUUUCUCUUAG
This 68-nucleotide transfer RNA is filed under the name Ambigolimax valentianus. Its description in RNAcentral is "tRNA-Phe". The record is from RNAcentral. Lineage: Eukaryota; Metazoa; Mollusca; Gastropoda; Stylommatophora; Limacidae.